GACGUAGGGCGCGAGCGUUGUCCGGAUUUAUUGGGCGUAAAGAGCUCGUAGGCGGCUCGUUGCGUCGGCUGUGAAAACCCGCAGCUCAACUGUGGGCUUGCAGCCGAUACGGGCGGGCUGGAGUUCGGUAGGGGAGACUGGAAUUCCUGGUGUAGCGGUGAAAUGCGCAGAUAUCAGGAGGAACACCGAUGGCGAAGGCAGGUCUCUGGGCCACUACUGACGCUGAGAAGCGAAAGCAUGGGGAGCGAACAGG
This 253-nucleotide ribosomal RNA is filed under the name uncultured bacterium. RNAcentral describes it as "partial 16S ribosomal RNA". It matches the Rfam family "Bacterial small subunit ribosomal RNA", at positions 524 to 776 of the family's 1533-position model. The record is from RNAcentral.